UACAGAGGGGGCAGGCGUUGUUCGGAAUUACUGGGCGUAAAGGGCGCGUAGGCGGCCUUCUAAGUCGAACGUGAAAUCCCCGGGCUCAACCCGGGAACUGCGUCCGAUACUGGAAGGCUUGAAUCCGGGAGAGGGAUGUGGAAUUCCAGGUGUAGCGGUGAAAUGCGUAGAUAUCUGGAGGAACACCGGUGGCGAAGGCGACAUCCUGGACCGGUAUUGACGCUGAGGCGCGAAAGCCAGGGGAGCAAACGGG
This 253-nucleotide ribosomal RNA is filed under the name uncultured bacterium. Its description in RNAcentral is "partial 16S ribosomal RNA". It matches the Rfam family "Bacterial small subunit ribosomal RNA", at positions 524 to 776 of the family's 1533-position model. The record is from RNAcentral.